UACGUAGGGUGCAAGCGUUAAUCGGAAUUACUGGGCGUAAAGCGUGCGCAGGCGGUUCGCUAAGACCGAUGUGAAAUCCCCGGGCUUAACCUGGGAACUGCAUUGGUGACUGGCGGGCUAGAGUAUGGCAGAGGGGGGGUAGAAUUCCACGUGUAGCAGUGAAAUGCGUAGAGAUGUGGAGGAAUACCGAUGGCGAAGGCAGCCCCCUGGGCCAAUACUGACGCUCAUGCACGAAAGCGUGGGGAGCAAACAGG
RNAcentral lists this ribosomal RNA (254 nucleotides) under uncultured bacterium. RNAcentral's name for it is "partial 16S ribosomal RNA". It matches the Rfam family "Bacterial small subunit ribosomal RNA", at positions 524 to 776 of the family's 1533-position model. The record is from RNAcentral.